This 743-nucleotide ribosomal RNA is filed under the name Placynthium nigrum. RNAcentral describes it as "SSU rRNA". It matches the Rfam family "Eukaryotic small subunit ribosomal RNA", at positions 110 to 863 of the family's 1831-position model. The record is from RNAcentral. Lineage: Eukaryota; Fungi; Ascomycota; Lecanoromycetes; Peltigerales; Placynthiaceae.
UUAUCGUUUAUUUGAUAGUACUUACUACUUGGAUACCUGUGGUAAUUCUAGAGCUAAUACAUGCUAAAAGCCCCGACUCCGGGAGGGGUGUAUUUAUUAGAUAAAAAACCAAUGCCCUUCGGGGCUACUUGGCGAUUCAUAAUAACUUAACGAAUCGCAUGGCCUUGCGCCGGCGAUGGUUCAUUCAAAUUUCUGCCCUAUCAACUUUCGAUGGUAGGAUAGUGGCCUACCAUGGUGUCUACGGGUAACGGGGAAUUAGGGUUCGAUUCCGGAGAGGGAGCCUGAGAAACGGCUACCACAUCCAAGGAAGGCAGCAGGCGCGCAAAUUACCCAAUCCCGACACGGGGAGGUAGUGACAAUAAAUACUGAUACAGGGCUCUUUCGGGUCUUGUAAUUGGAAUGAGUACAAUUUAAAUCCCUUAACGAGGAACAAUUGGAGGGCAAGUCUGGUGCCAGCAGCCGCGGUAAUUCCAGCUCCAAUAGCGUAUAUUAAAGUUGUUGCAGUUAAAAAGCUCGUAGUUGAAACUUGGGCCUGGCUGGCCGGUCCGCCUCACCGCGUGCACUGGUUUGGCCGGGCCUUUCCUUCUGGGGAACCGCAUGCCCUUAACUGGGUGUGCCGGGGAUUCAGGACUUUUACUUUGAAAAAAUUAGAGUGUUCAAAGCAGGCCUAUGCUCGAAUACAUUAGCAUGGAAUAAUAGAAUAGGACGUGUGGUUCUAUUUUGUUGGUUUCUAGAACCGCCGU